AGUAAUACAGUUAAAAUUAUAAGAUAGUAAAUUUUUAAAAAAUGAUAAACUAUGUGGAAGCUAGUAUAUAACUAAUUUUUUUUUAUUUUAAUUUUUUUUGAGAGAUUGAUAAGACGUUACCUGCUUCGUUUAUUUCAUUUAUUUUAAUUUUUUUAUUUUAAUUUUUUUAUUUUAAUAAUAUAUAAUUUAGUCCACGUAUAGGGAUGUCAAUUGGUAUGGAUAUCCGAAAUUUUAUCCAAAUCCGAACCCGAAUGAAACAGAUAUAUCCGAUGCUAAAUAGGUAUGGAAUAUUCGGAUAUGGAUAUCAAAAAUAAAAACCCGACAGAUAUGAAUUCAGAUAUGAAUAUCAAAAAUAGAAACCCGACGAUAUUGAUCGAUAUUAAUUUUGACUAGUACCCAUCGAACCCCGAAUCCGACCGAAACCGAAUAGUUAUGUUGUAUUAUAUAUAUAUAUUAUAUAUAAUAUAUAGUAUAUACUAAUAAUAUAUAUAUAUAUUUGAUGUUAUAUUUGAAUUUUAUUUUAAAAAUUUAUAUUUAAUAUAAUAUAUUUUAAAAUAUUGAAAAAAAAAUUAUUAUUUCGGGUUAAUAUUUUCGGGUUCGAAUUCAGAUUUCAAAUUUUUGGUCGGGUUCGGGUUUGGAUAUGAAUUUUUAAAAUCCGUCGAGUUCGGAUUCAGAUUCGGGUUCGGGUUUGGAGCCGGGUUCAGGUUCGAAUUUUUGAAAAUCCGUCCCGAAUUCAAUCCGUUGACAUCUCU
Molecule: long non-coding RNA, 752 nt
Filed under: Ananas comosus (pineapple)
Lineage: Eukaryota; Viridiplantae; Streptophyta; Magnoliopsida; Poales; Bromeliaceae
Description: long non-coding RNA (ACOM_LNC001277)
Source: RNAcentral